AGAGUUUGAUCCUGGCUCAGGACGAACGCUGGCGGCGUGCUUAACACAUGCAAGUCGAACGGUGACGAGGAGCUUGCUCCUCUGAUCAGUGGCGAACGGGUGAGUAACACGUGAGCAACCUGCCCCAGACUCUGGGAUAACAGUUGGAAACAGCUGCUAAUACCGGAUACGAGACGGAGAGGCAUCUCUACCGUCUGGAAAGUUUUUCGGUCUGGGAUGGACUCGCGGCCUAUCAGCUAGUUGGUGAGGUAAUGGCUCACCAAGGCGACGACGGGUAGCCGGCCUGAGAGGGCGACCGGCCACACUGGGACUGAGACACGGCCCAGACUCCUACGGGAGGCAGCAGUGGGGAAUAUUGCACAAUGGGCGAAAGCCUGAUGCAGCGACGCCGCGUGAGGGAUGACGGCCUUCGGGUUGUAAACCUCUUUCAGCAGGGAAGAAGCGAAAGUGACGGUACCUGCAGAAGAAGCACCGGCUAACUACGUGCCAGCAGCCGCGGUAAUACGUAGGGUGCGAGCGUUGUCCGAAUUAUUGGGCGUAAAGAGCUUGUAGGCGGUUUGUCGCGUCUGCAGUGAAAAUCCGAGGCUCAACCUCGGACUUGCUGUGGGUACGGGCAGACUAGAGUAUGGUAGGGGAGACCGGAAUUCCUGGUGUAGCGGUGGAAUGCGCAGAUAUCAGGAGGAACACCGAUGGCGAAGGCAGGUCUCUGGGCCAUAACUGACGCUGAGAAGCGAAAGCAUGGGGAGCGAACAGGAUUAGAUACCCUGGUAGUCCAUGCCGUAAACGUUGGGCGCUAGGUGUGGGGCUCAUUCCACGAGCUCCGUGCCGCAGCUAACGCAUUAAGCGCCCCGCCUGGGGAGUACGGCCGCAAGGCUAAAACUCAAAGGAAUUGACGGGGGCCCGCACAAGCGGCGGAGCAUGCGGAUUAAUUCGAUGCAACGCGAAGAACCUUACCAAGGCUUGACAUAUACCGGAAACAUCCAGAGAUGGGUGCCCCGCAAGGUCGGUAUACAGGUGGUGCAUGGUUGUCGUCAGCUCGCGUCGUGAGAUGUUGGGUUAAGUCCCGCAACGAGCGCAACCCUCGUUCUAUGUUGCCAGCGCGUAAUGGCGGGGACUCAUAGGAGACUGCCGGGGUCAACUCGGAGGAAGGUGGGGAUGACGUCAAAUCAUCAUGCCCCUUAUGUCUUGGGCUUCACGCAUGCUACAAUGGCCGGUACAAAGGGCUGCGAUACCGCGAGGUGGAGCGAAUCCCAAAAAAACCGGUCUCAGUUCGGAUUGGGGUCUGCAACUCGACCCCAUGAAGUCGGAGUCGCUAGUAAUCGCAGAUCAGCAACGCUGCGGUGAAUACGUUCCCGGGCCUUGUACACACCGCCCGUCAAGUCACGAAAGUCGGUAACACCCGAAGCCGGUGGCCCAACCCUUGUGGAGGGAGCCGUCGAA
Molecule: ribosomal RNA, 1440 nt
Filed under: metagenome
Description: bacterial SSU rRNA
Rfam family: Bacterial small subunit ribosomal RNA
Source: RNAcentral